This 518-nucleotide long non-coding RNA is filed under the name Manihot esculenta (cassava). RNAcentral describes it as "long non-coding RNA (MESC_LNC007835)". Lineage: Eukaryota; Viridiplantae; Streptophyta; Magnoliopsida; Malpighiales; Euphorbiaceae. The record is from RNAcentral.
UCGGAUUCUGGGUGUCAACGGAGCGUGUUCGACAGUCAUAUUGUCGAACACGCUAGUUCGACACUCAUAGUGUCGAACAAUGGGGAGUUCGACAUUAUGGGUGUCGAAUUGCCAUGUGGCGUGUCUGAUGUGGUGUGUUCGACAUCCAAAGUGCCGAACAGCCUAUAAAGUAGACACGUGGACAUGUCCUUGCAUGCAUAACAUGUCUCAUGCAUGCAAAGGGUGCCUUACAUGCAUGACAUGUGUCAUGCAUGCAAGGCACUUUUCAGGAGACCCAUGUGGUACUGUACAUGCAAGUCACUUUGAAUGUCGAAUGGGGCGCUGUGCAUGCAGGUCAUUUUGGGUGGAGUGCUGCAUGCAUGAAACAUGUUAUGCAUAAGGGGUGCCUUGCAUGCAUGACAUGUGUUCAUGCAUGCAAGCCACUGUCUGGGUAAAGGAGACCCACGCACAGCUACGCGGGGAGGAGACUUUAAGUCUCCUUCCAUACACCAUCUUUCUGCUUUCAUCUUCUCAUUCUC